CCCUCUGCUGACUCUUGUUGCAAUUCCCCAUCCACAGAUCCAGGUCACAGUCUAGGCGCAUGAUCUCAGGGUGAGGAAGAGCACUAGCAGAUACCAGAGCUUGCUGUCACAGGGGAGCAGAGGACCCUGAUCACACUUCCAAAGGAGAAAAGAGUACUUUGGGUUACUCACAGACAAGAGCACUGACUAGGAGUUAUUUUGUGAAGUGGAAAUUGAGGGAACCUUAAAAAUUUCAAAGAUCUAAGACCAUCAGCCAAGGACUCCUGCAUAGGGCAAUUUCCCAAACAAACUCAAAAGAAGGACUGAAAGCAGAUAGCCCUCCAGAGCUUGCUCUGAAAGCAGCCCCACAAAGACGCUGGAGCUUGGAACAGUGCUCUGUUCACCCACAGGAACAUAGCUCGAUUUUAAAUUAAAAGAAAAGAAAAAAUCUGGAAAAUGAGCAAACAACAGAAAAAGAAACUCAGCAUAGAAAGUUAUUGUGACAGAGAAGACAGAAGACAGAAAUUCAGAAGAAGACAACAAAGCUAAUACUGCUACAUCCAAAGCCUCCAAGAAAAAUAGGAAUUGCUUUCAAGCCCCAAAAGAAUUAAUGGACAUGCUCAAAAAGGAUUUUUUAAAUUAAAUAAGAGAGGUAGAAGAAAUGAGAGCGAUACCGGAAAAUCAUGAGAAAAGAGUCAACAGGUUGGUAAAGGAGGCACAAAAAAUACUAAAGAAAUUAAUAUCUUAAAAAACAGAAUAAGCCAAUUGGUAAAAAAUGGCACAAAAAUCCAGUGAAGAGAAGACUUCCCCCCAAAAAAGCAGAAUAGAACAAAUGGAAAAAGAUAUACAAAAAUGCACUGAAUAGAAGAACUUCUUGAAAAGUAGAAGAGGUACAAAAAAUCACUGAGGAAAAGAACUUUUUACAAGGAACAAUUAGCAAAAUGGAAAAGGAGGUACAAAAGUCACUUGAGGAAAUAAUGCCUUAAAAAUUAGAAUUGGGCAAGUAGAAGCUAAUAAUUCUAUAAGACAUCAGGAAACAAUUACAAAAGUCAAAAAAUGAAAAGAGAAAAGAAAAUGUGAAAUAUCUCAUUGGAAAAACAACUGACCUAGAAAAUAAAACUAGGAGAGAUAAGAAUUAUUGGACUACU
This 1127-nucleotide long non-coding RNA is filed under the name Monodelphis domestica (gray short-tailed opossum). Its description in RNAcentral is "lncRNA (ENSMODG00000042474.1)". The record is from RNAcentral. Lineage: Eukaryota; Metazoa; Chordata; Mammalia; Didelphimorphia; Didelphidae.